GAAAAAAGAAUCCUCCCACCUCAUGCCUUUUUUUUUUUCUGAUGCCAGGAAUUAGUAUUCAUUGCCUCUUUAAGAGGCCAAUGCAAAAAAAGGUAGAAAAAGCCCUAGCCCAGGAGUUGGGAUUGCCAGUUGUAGUCCCUGGGUUGCCUUGCUGGGGGUGCCUAAGUCAGUGCCAUAACCUCAGUUUUUCUAAUCUGUGUAACAUGGGGAUAGAGUAUAUGAUUUCCAAGGUCACUUUCACCUCUGUGAUUGAGCCUCUAAGAAAGCCAAAUCUUUUCACUUUGUAAUCAUGACAUUUUUAAAAGAUGGAGUUAAUAUGAAUGGGAAACUUUUUUUUUUUUGAGCCAGGGACUUGCUAUGUUGCCCAGGCUGGUCUUGAACUCCUGAACUCAAGUGAUCCUCUCACCUCAGCCUCUCAAAUAGCUGAGACUACAGGCACACACCACUGCACCUGGCUAAAGACUAUAUUCUUAAAGAAUAAAAGUACUGCACUUCACCUCUAUCUCCUGGUAUCUCUUCAAUUCAAACACACCAUUAAUGACUACAAUAUUUUAUUUAAGGCCGGGCGCAGUGGCUCACGCCUGGUUAAUCCCAGCACUUUGGGAGGCCAAGGCAGGCGGAUCACUAGGUCAGGAGAUCGAGACCAUCCUGGCUAACGUGGUGAAACCCCGUCUCUACUUAUAAAAAAAAAAAAAAAAAAAAUUAGCCGGGCGUGGGAGCGGGCGCCUGUAGUCCCAGCUACUUGGGAGGCUGAGCUUGCAGUGAGCCGAGAUCACGCGGCUGCGCUCCAGCCUGGGCGACAGAGUGAGACUCUGUCUCAAAAUAAAUAAAUAAAUAAAUAAAAAUAAAAAAUAAAAAAUAUUUUAUUUAAACCUUUAUGUUGAACUUAAAAGUUCCUUGAAGCUUUGCUUUGGCUCUUAAUUACUGGUAUGUUUUUGAGUACAACAUUUUGAAGAAGCAGAAUGUGAAAAGACUAAUUUGCUUUCCAGCUGAGUUUUAGUUCUCGAAGGCAAUGGAACUGUUGCUAUCCACUUCUGCCUCUUAGUACCUUAAACCUCAGAGAUGCUCACUGGAACACUUUUUACAUGGAUUUGUCUUUGGUUUCAUCAGGUGAGUGUGCUACAAAAAUCUAGAACCUAAGAGCCAAUGCAGCGUCGGUUCUGUGACUAUCCUUGUUAAGUGUUACGGUUUUCUAAUCCUUCACAAAUGUUUUUUUCCCAACACAAAGCACCAUUAUCUUUCCUCACAAUUUUCAACAUAGUUUGAUUCCCAUGAAGAGGUUAUGAUUUCUAAAGAAAACAUGGCUACUAUACUAUCAAUCAGGGUUAAAUCUUUUUUUUUUGAGACGGAGUUUCGCUCUUGUUGCCGAGGCUGGAGUGCGAUGGCGUGAUCUCGGCUCACCGCAACCUCCGUCUCCCGGUUCAGGAAAUUCUCCUGCCUCAGCCUCCCAAGUAGCUGGGAUUACAGGCAUGUGCCACCAUGCCAGGCUAAUUUUGUAUUUUUUAAGUAGAGACAGGAUUUCACCAUGUUGGUCAGGCUGGUCUUGAACUCCUGACCUCAGGUGGAUCCACCCACCUUGGCCUCCCAAAGUGCUGGGAUUAUGGUGUGAGCCACCACACCUGGUCCUAUCAGGGUUAAAUCCAAGUAAUAACUCAAUUUCAAAAAAAUUGCAGAAAAGCCUAUUAAAAGAAAAAAAAAACCAUGAGACUUAUCUCUUGUAAAUUUGUUACAUGAACUAGAUAUUAAACAGCCAAAAAAGGACAGCGAUGAUAGUAUCUGUUAAGAUCCUGGUUCAUUUCACAAUAUGAAAAAGUUGAUGGGUACUUAGUAGCUUUUUUAAAAAAAUUCAUUUUAUUAUAUUAUACUAGAAAAAUGAAAAUAUUAAUACUUUCCAUUCAGAAAAGCUUAAAUGACUCGUCUCUAAUUUUGGUUUAAAGUUUUCUUCAAUUUAUUCAAGGCUCUCAAAAAAAAAAUAGAAAAGCACUGUAAUUUGCACUGCUUGACUGUAAAAUGUUUUAUGUGUUAGGAAUAGAAUAUUCUUUAAUGGGCAGGCAGAGAAUGAAAGCCAAGCCAAAUAACAAAAUCUCAUGGGUUUUGAUCACUUAGAAAAUUACAGUGAAUCAAUAUUACCUAAAAGGAAAUUCAAAAAAUUCCCAAUUGUUGAUAAUACAUGUCUCCUGGCAUACAGGGUCCAUCUUGCAGUAAAAAAUGGGCACAAUGC
RNAcentral lists this long non-coding RNA (2221 nucleotides) under Homo sapiens (human). RNAcentral's name for it is "HSALNT0290839". The record is from RNAcentral. Lineage: Eukaryota; Metazoa; Chordata; Mammalia; Primates; Hominidae.